This 551-nucleotide ribosomal RNA is filed under the name uncultured bacterium. RNAcentral's name for it is "partial 16S ribosomal RNA". It matches the Rfam family "Bacterial small subunit ribosomal RNA", at positions 355 to 895 of the family's 1533-position model. The record is from RNAcentral.
UGGGGAAUUUUGGACAAUGGGCGCAAGCCUGAUCCGGCCAUGCCGCGUGCGGGAAGAAGGCCUUCGGGUUGUAAACCGCUUUUGUCAGGGAAGAAAUCUUCUGAGUUAAUACCUCGGGAGGAUGACGGUACCUGAAGAAUAAGCACCGGCUAACUACGUGCCAGCAGCCGCGGUAAUACGUAGGGUGCAAGCGUUAAUCGGAAUUACUGGGCGUAAAGCGUGCGCAGGCGGUUUUGUAAGACAGAGGUGAAAUCCCCGGGCUCAACCUGGGAACUGCCUUUGUGACUGCAAGGCUUGAGUGCGGCAGAGGGGGGAUGGAAUUCCGCGUGUAGCAGUGAAAUGCGUAGAUAUGCGGAGGAACACCGAUGGCGAAGGCAAUCCCCCUGGGCCUGCACUGACGCUCAUGCACGAAAGCGUGGGGAGCAAACAGGAUUAGAUAGCCCCUGGUAGUCCACGCCCUAAACGAUGUCAACUGGUUGUUGGGAAGGUUCCUUCUCAGUAACGUAGCUAACGCGUGAAGUUGACCGCCUGGGGAGUACGGCCGCAAGGUU